Molecule: ribosomal RNA, 1287 nt
Filed under: uncultured bacterium
Lineage: Bacteria
Description: bacterial SSU rRNA
Rfam family: Bacterial small subunit ribosomal RNA
Source: RNAcentral
GAUGAACGCUGGCGGCGUGCUUAACACAUGCAAGUCGAACGAACCUUCGGGUUAGUGGCGGACGGGUGAGUAACGCGUGAGAAUCUGCCCUCAGGAGGGGGAUAACGGUUGGAAACGACCGCUAAUACCCCAUAUGCCGAUAGGUGAAAUGAAUUUCGCCUGAGGAUGAGCUCGCGUCUGAUUAGCUUGUUGGUGGGGUAAUGGCUCACCAAGGCUUCGAUCAGUAGCUGGUCUGAGAGGAUGAUCAGCCACACUGGGACUGAGACACGGCCCAGACUCCUACGGGAGGCAGCAGUGGGGAAUUUUCCGCAAUGGGCGAAAGCCUGACGGAGCAACGCCGCGUGAGGGACGAAGGCCUCUGGGCUGUAAACCUCUUUUCUCAAGGAANAANAUAUGACGGUACUUGAGGAAUAAGCCACGGCUAAUUCCGUGCCAGCAGCCGCGGUAAUACGGGAGUGGCAAGCGUUAUCCGGAAUUAUUGGGCGUAAAGCGUCCGCAGGCGGCCUUUCAAGUCUGCUGUUAAAGCGUGGAGCUUAACUCCAUUAUGGCAGUGGAAACUGAUCGGCUUGAGUAUGGUAGGGGCAGAGGGAAUUCCCGGUGUAGCGGUGGAAUGCGUAGAUAUCGGGAAGAACACCAGUGGCGAAGGCGCUCUGCUGGGCCAUUACUGACGCUCAUGGACGAAAGCCAGGGGAGCGAAAGGGAUUUGAUACCCCUGUAGUCCUGGCCGUAAACGAUGAACACUAGGUGUCGGGGGAAUCGACCCCUUCGGUGUCGUAGCUAACGCGUUAAGUGUUCCGCCUGGGGAGUACGCACGCAAGUGUGAAACUCAAAGGAAUUGACGGGGGCCCGCACAAGCGGUGGAGUAUGCGGUUUAAUUCGAUGCAACGCGAAGAACCUUACCAGGGUUUGACAUCCUGAGAACCUCUUAGAAAUUUGAGGGUGCCUUCGGGAAUUCAGUGACAGGUGGUGCAUGGCUGUCGUCAGCUCGUGUCGUGAGAUGUUGGGUUAAGUCCCGCAACGAGCGCAACCCACGUUUUUAGUUGCCAGCAUUUAGUUGGGCACUCUAGAAAGACCGCCGGUGAUAAACCGGAGGAAGGUGUGGAUGACGUCAAGUCAUCAUGCCCCUUACACCCUGGGCUACACACGUACUACAAUGCUACGGACAAAGGGCAGCAAACUCGCGAGAGCUAGCAAAUCCCAUAAACCGUGGCUCAGUUCAGAUCGUAGGCUGCAACUCGCCUACGUGAAGUAGGAAUCGCUAGUAAUCGCAGGUCAGCAUACUGCGGU